Molecule: ribosomal RNA, 454 nt
Filed under: uncultured bacterium
Lineage: Bacteria
Description: bacterial SSU rRNA
Rfam family: Bacterial small subunit ribosomal RNA
Source: RNAcentral
UACGGGAGGCAGCAGUGGGGAAUAUUGCACAAUGGGCGCAAGCCUGAUGCAGCCAUGCCGCGUGUAUGAAGAAGGCCUUCGGGUUGUAAAGUACUUUCAGUCGUGAGGAAGGUGUUAAGGUUAAUAACCUUAGCAAUUGACGUUAGCGACAGAAGAAGCACCGGCUAACUCCGUGCCGGCAGCCGCGGUAAUACGGAGGGUGCGAGCGUUAAUCGGAAUUACUGGGCGUAAAGGGCACGCAGGCGGUUAAUUAAGUUGGAUGUGAAAUCCCCGGGCUUAACCUGGGAAUGGCAUUCAAGACUGGUUAGCUAGAGUCUUGUAGAGGGGGUAGAAUUCCAUGUGUAGCGGUGAAAUGCGUAGAGAUGUGGAGGAAUACCGGUGGCGAAGGCGGCCCCUGGACAAAGACUGACGCUCAUGUGCGAAAGCGUGGGGAGCAAACGAGGGAUUAGAUACC